UACGUAGGGGGCGAGCGUUGUCCGGAUUUACUGGGCGUAAAGAGCGCGUAGGCGGUCUGUUAAGUGUGAAGUGAAAUCUCUAGGGCUCAACCCAGAAACUGCUUUACAUACUGGCAGACUUGAGUGAUGAAGAGGUUUGUGGAAUUCCUGGUGUAACGGUGAAAUGUGUUGAUAUCAGGAGGAACACCGAUGGCGAAGGCAGCUCGCUGGGACGGUACUGAC
This 222-nucleotide ribosomal RNA is filed under the name uncultured bacterium. RNAcentral describes it as "partial 16S ribosomal RNA". It matches the Rfam family "Bacterial small subunit ribosomal RNA", at positions 524 to 744 of the family's 1533-position model. The record is from RNAcentral.